GAAAAGCAAAUGUAGGUAUAAGUAACGAUAAAGGGGGUGAGAAACCCCCUCGCCGCAAGACUCAGGUUUCCUGAUCAACGCUAAUCGGAUCAGGGUCAGUCGGGUCCUAAGGCUCAGCCGAACGGCGAGGCCGAUGGCAGAACCGGUUAAUAUUCCGGUACUACCCUUUGGGGUGACGUGGAGACGCAGUCGUGACAAUGCCGCCAGCUGACGGAAUAGCUGGUUAAAGGGUGUAGAAGUUGAUUGUGGCAGGCAAAUCCACCACAAGAUUCGAACCUGACAGUAUGGAGCGUCCUUCCGGACAAUCCAAUAGUGCAUGUAAUCAUACUGCCAAGAAAAUCCGCUAAACAUAACCUUCAGGGUACCCGUACCGCAAACGGACACACGUAGUCGGGUUGAAUAUACUAAGGCGCUUGAGUGAUUCACGGUUAAGGAACUAGGCAAAUUAACCCUGUAACUUCGGGAAAAAGGGUCCCUACCCGUUAGCGGGAGGGCGCAGAGAAUCGGUCCAGGCAACUGUUUAACAAAAACACAGGGCUGUGCGAAGUCGAAAGACGCUGUAUACAGCCUGACACCUGCCCGGUGCUGGAAGGUUAAGAGGAGAUGUCAUCGCAAGAGAAGCAUUGAAUUGAAGCCCCAGUAAACGGCGGCCGUAACUAUAACGGUCCUAAGGUAGCGAAAUUCCUUGUCGGGUAAGUUCCGACCUGCACGAAUGGUGUAAUGAUCUGGACACUGUCUCAACCGUGAGCUCAGUGAAAUUGUAGUAUCGGUGAAGAUGCCGAUUACCCGCGAUGGGACGAAAAGACCCCGUGAACCUUUACUAUAGCUUAUCAUUGAAUUUGGGCACGUGAUGUGUAGGAUAGGUCGGAGGCUUUGAAGCAGGCACGCCAGUGUUUGUGGAGCCGCUGUUGAAAUACGACCCUUCAUUUGUUUGAGUUCUAACUCGUGAUACGAGGACACUGAUUGGUGGGUAGUUUGACUGGGGUGGUCGCCUCCAAAAGUGUAACGGAGGCUUCUAAAGGUGCCCUCAGGACGAUUGGUAACCGUCCGUAGAGUGUAAUGGCAUAAGGGCGCUUGACUGGGAGACAUACAAGUCGAUCAGGUAGGAAACUAGAGCAUAGUGAUCCGGUGUUUCCGCAUGGAAGGGACAUCGCUCAAAGGAUAAAAGGUACUCCGGGGAUAACAGGCUGAUC
Molecule: ribosomal RNA, 1193 nt
Filed under: human gut metagenome
Description: bacterial LSU rRNA
Rfam family: Bacterial large subunit ribosomal RNA
Source: RNAcentral